CCUACGGGGGGCUGCAGUGGGGAAUUUUGGACAAUGGGCGCAAGCCUGAUCCAGCCAUUCCGCGUGAGUGAAGAAGGCCUUCGGGUUGUAAAGCUCUUUCGCAAGGGAAGAAAACUUAUCCUCUAACAUAGGAUGAGGUUGACGGUACCUUGAUAAGAAGCACCGGCUAACUACGUGCCAUCAGCCGCGGUAAUACGUAGGGUGCGAGCGUUCGUCGGAAUUACUGAGGGUAAUUUGUGAGCCAGCUGUGAAAUCCCCGAGCUCAACUUGGGAACUGCGUUUGAAACUACAAGACUAGAGUAGGUCAGAGGGGGGUAGAAUUCCACGUGUAGAAGUGAAAUGCGUAGAGAUGUGGAGGAAGAUCAAUGGCGAAGGCAGCCCCCUGGGAUCAUAUUGACGCUCAGGCACGAAAGCGUGGGGAGCAAACAGGAUUAGAUACCCCAGUAGUC
RNAcentral lists this ribosomal RNA (449 nucleotides) under uncultured bacterium. RNAcentral's name for it is "partial 16S ribosomal RNA". It matches the Rfam family "Bacterial small subunit ribosomal RNA", at positions 338 to 795 of the family's 1533-position model. The record is from RNAcentral.